GGUCCUGUGGCCUAGCGGCAAAGGCAGCUUCCUUACAAGAAGAUGAUCGGUGGUUCGAGUCCACCCAGGACUAC
This 74-nucleotide transfer RNA is filed under the name Posidoniimonas corsicana. Its description in RNAcentral is "Planctomycetes bacterium KOR34 tRNA-Val". It matches the Rfam family "tRNA". From Rfam's summary of the family: Transfer RNA (tRNA) molecules are approximately 80 nucleotides in length. Their secondary structure includes four short double-helical elements and three loops (D, anti-codon, and T loops). Further hydrogen bonds mediate the characteristic L-shaped molecular structure. tRNAs have two regions of fundamental functional importance: the anti-codon, which is responsible for specific mRNA codon recognition, and the 3' end, to which the tRNAs corresponding amino acid is attached (by aminoacyl-tRNA synthetases). tRNAs cope with the degeneracy of the genetic code in two manners: having more than one tRNA (with a specific anti-codon) for a particular amino acid; and 'wobble' base-pairing, i.e. permitting non-standard base-pairing at the 3rd anti-codon position. Lineage: Bacteria; Pseudomonadati; Planctomycetota; Planctomycetia; Pirellulales; Lacipirellulaceae. The record is from RNAcentral.